RNAcentral lists this ribosomal RNA (25 nucleotides) under Aspidistra paucitepala. The record is from RNAcentral. RNAcentral also lists the same sequence under 2 other names. Lineage: Eukaryota; Viridiplantae; Streptophyta; Magnoliopsida; Asparagales; Asparagaceae.
UUUGGGAAGUCCUUGUGUUGCACCC